AACGAACGCUGGCGGCGCGUCUUAAACAUGCAAGUCGAACGGCAGGAAGGGGCUUGCCCCUUCUGAGAGUGGCGGACUGGUGAGUAACACGUGGGUGACAUACCUUUUAGUUGGGGAUAGCUAUUAGAAAUAGUAGGUAAUACCGAAUGUGACCGUACCUGUUAGAGGGGUACGAGGAAAGGAGCUAAGGCUUCGCUAAAAGAAUGGCUCGCGGCCCAUUAUGCUCGUUGGUGAGGUAACGGCCCACCAAGGCGAUGAUGGGUAUCCGGCCUGAGAGGGUGAACGGACACGUGGGGAAUGGAAACCGGCCCGGCUUUCUACGGAGGGCAGCAGUUAAGAUUAUUCGGCAAGGGCGGAAAGUCGAACGGGGCGACGCCGGGUGAAUGAAGAUUGCCGAAAGUUUGUAAAUCCUUUUAAGCCUGAUGAAUAAGCACAGUAGGGAAUGAUUGUGCGGUGACCGUAGGGCUUGAAUAAGCACCGGCUAAUUACGUG
This 492-nucleotide ribosomal RNA is filed under the name uncultured bacterium. RNAcentral's name for it is "partial 16S ribosomal RNA". It matches the Rfam family "Bacterial small subunit ribosomal RNA", at positions 29 to 507 of the family's 1533-position model. The record is from RNAcentral.